RNAcentral lists this unclassified non-coding RNA (319 nucleotides) under uncultured fungus. RNAcentral's name for it is "sequence contains ITS1". The stretch from base 1 to 105 matches the Rfam family "5.8S ribosomal RNA", at positions 50 to 154 of the family's 154-position model. The record is from RNAcentral. Lineage: Eukaryota; Fungi.
GAACUGCGAUACGUAAUGUGACUUGCAGAAUCUCGUGAAUCAUCAAAUCUUUGAACGCAAAUGGCGCCCCCGGGAAUCCCCGGGCGCACGCCUGUCUGAGUAUCAUAUCCCCCCUCCAUCCGCGCGCCCCGCGUGGGCGCGCGGGCGGUGGCGGCCACGCCCCGCGCGCGCCCGCUGAAACCGACUUUUUAUUGCGGGACCCCGCGCAGUCGCCCCCACGCUGUAAGCUUUUGCGGCUCCCCGUGGACGGCGCGCGCAGUGCCCCCCCAAACACUACUACCGUGAUCUCAGAUCAGGCGAGAGGACCCGCUGAACUUAA